GGAAUGCAGAAUACAUACAGGGCAUUGUCUUGUAAUUGGAAUGAUGGUGACGUAAAAUCUCACCAGAGUAACAAUUGGAGGGCAAGUCUGGUGCCAGCAGCCGCGGUAAUUCCAGCUCCAAUAGCGUAUAUUAAACUUGUUGCAGUUAAAAAGCUCGUAGUUGAAUUUCUGCGUUGCCCGACUCGGCUACUUGCCUUGUCUGGUUUCGCUUUUGGGGUUUUCCCCUUUUUACUUUGAGAAAAUUAGAGUGUUUCAAGCAGACUUGUGUCUUGAAGACUUCAGCAUGGAAUAAUAAAGUAGGACUUUGGUUCUAUUUUGUUGGUUUGUGAACCUUAGUAAUGGUUAAUAGGAACGGUUGGGGGCAUUCGUAUUUAAA
Molecule: ribosomal RNA, 376 nt
Filed under: Babesia gibsoni
Lineage: Eukaryota; Apicomplexa; Aconoidasida; Piroplasmida; Babesiidae
Description: SSU rRNA
Rfam family: Eukaryotic small subunit ribosomal RNA
Source: RNAcentral